This 58-nucleotide transfer RNA is filed under the name Escherichia coli. RNAcentral's name for it is "tRNA-Val". It matches the Rfam family "tRNA", at positions 9 to 63 of the family's 71-position model. Rfam says of the family: Transfer RNA (tRNA) molecules are approximately 80 nucleotides in length. The record is from RNAcentral. Lineage: Bacteria; Pseudomonadati; Pseudomonadota; Gammaproteobacteria; Enterobacterales; Enterobacteriaceae.
AGUUCAGCUGGGAGAGCACCUCCCUUACAAGGAGGGGGUCGGCGGUUCGAUCCCGUCA